AGUGGCGGACGGGUGAGUAACGCGUGAGAAUCUGCCUUCAGGAUGGGGACAACAGUUAGAAAUGACUGCUAAUACCCAAUGUGCCGAAAGGUGAAACUUUUAUGGCCUGAAGAGGAGCUCGCGUCCGAUUAGCUAGUUGGGGUGGUAAGAGCGCACCAAGGCAACGAUCGGUAGCUGGUCUGAGAGGAUGAGCAGCCACACUGGGACUGAGACACGGCCCAGACUCCUACGGGAGGCAGCAGUGGGGAAUUUUCCGCAAUGGGCGAAAGCCUGACGGAGCAAUACCGCGUGAGGGAGGAAGGCUUUUGGGUUGUAAACCUCUUUUCUCAAGGAAGAAGAACUGACGGUACUUGAGGAAUCAGCAUCGGCUAACUCCGUGCCAGCAGCCGCGGUAAUACGGAGGAUGCAAGCGU
Molecule: ribosomal RNA, 413 nt
Filed under: uncultured bacterium
Lineage: Bacteria
Description: bacterial SSU rRNA
Rfam family: Bacterial small subunit ribosomal RNA
Source: RNAcentral